This 4747-nucleotide long non-coding RNA is filed under the name Sus scrofa (pig). RNAcentral describes it as "lncRNA (ENSSSCG00055024577.1)". The record is from RNAcentral. Lineage: Eukaryota; Metazoa; Chordata; Mammalia; Artiodactyla; Suidae.
GACAGCAGUAGAGGGCGGAAGUGCAGUCUGUCCAGGAUGAGGUUCCUGGUUGCGUUUGUCUUGCUGAGCGUCGCAGCGGAGGAUUAUUGCUUUCGUCCUGGAAGGAAAAAGAUCCAAAGUCACACGGCGGCCAAAGGCCAGUGAUUACCAGCGUUUGGACCAGAAGAUUUGAAUUUUCUGUUCUUGAGAACCAUGUCCUCCCUGCUGAUUUGUUUCUAAGUCAAGAAAAAUGAAGAGAAAAAUACUGUGACCUAAGAGAGACCCCCUGCUCUCGGGUUUGGUGGCGAGUCUGGCAGAGGCAGGGGGGGAUUGCUUUGGUUUUUGCACCUGCACUUUGGUGACCUUGUCCUCCUGUGUUCCUGUUAUUUAUGCUGGUGUCUUCCAGCCUGUCCCCCUCUGAGUGUGAGUAGAGGAGCAUGUGGGUACCCAGCAGUGACCAAAGGAAGACCCCAGCCCUCAGCAGGUGCUCGCUGCUGACUGCCCUCUGUGGGACCUUGGCCUUGUGGUAAAGUUUUCCCUUGAAAACUCUUGCACUCGCCCCUGUUUACCUUCACAGACCUAGGCGACUACAGCAGGCUGAGGUGCGUCUCCCAGAGCCUCUCCCUUUGGGGGGAUGCGCCCCACAGAAGAUGGAGAAGGUGGGGAAUGCUGAUGGGUGAAGGGCUCCUUUGAGCACACGAUUCUCUUCAAAGGCUUUGACAGCAAACCAAAACAGCAGCGAGAAAACGUGCUUUAUCGCCGGCGAGCCCGGCCUGCCCAGCACAAGCUCUUCACAUUCUUCUGACAUUUUCAUGUCACCUAGGACUAAGCCACCCUACUUCCAUUUGGUCGGUCUGGGCAGAAAACCAUACUUGGGGAUUCUGGGAGGAAAGCCUUAAAGCUCCGGUUCCCAUCACAGGUUUUUUUUUUAAAUAGCAGUUAACCAUGAUUGAAACACUAUGUUCACCCUACUCACUAUUGUUAGGAGAACUUUUUGAAAUAGGGUGAGUUCAUGUUUUGGGCAAGAAAGCACGUGGUUCAGUUUGGCUUUGGUCAGCAGUUUUUCUCAAAGGGUUGUUAUGAAACAGGUUUCCUGCAAACUGUUUUGCCUUUGUUGCCUAAAAUUGACUUAUAUUUACAGACUGACUGUCCUCCCUCUUUUACCUAAAUCUAGUUAAUGGUCCUCUUAUCUGGUACAAAAUGCCAAGGCUGGAGUUCCCACUGUGGUGCAUUGGGUUAAUGAUCCAGCAUGUCUCUGCGGAAGUGCAGGUUUAUUCCCCAGCUCAGCCCAGCCCAGUGGGUGAAGGAUCUGGUAUUGCUGAAGCUGUGGUGUAGGUCGAAGCUCUAGCUCAGAUUAGAUACCUGGCCCUGGAACUUCCACAUGCCAUGGGAGUCGUUAAAAAAUAAAAAUAAAAUCCAAGGCUAAUUAGUAAAUAUCCUUCUUCUAUCCCACAUCUGGGGUUAUUAAAAUUUAAGGAAUUCAGAGCGUUCCCUGGGGUUUGGGCUGUUUCAAGCUUUAUUUAAACCUGUUCUAGUUGUGCCACCCUAUUAUAGAGAGCCUAAAGAGAGUUGUUUCUGCAAAGAAAAAACCAAAAUAGGAGUUCCCCAGUGGCCUAGCGGUUAAGGAUCCAGCAUUGUCACUGCUGUGGCUCAGGUCACUGCUGUGGUACAGGUUCAGUCCUUGCAUUGGGAACUUCAGCAGGCCACGGGCACAACCAGCAAAGGCUGAAGUAGAAUGUUUCAUCUCAGAGAAGUGCACAGAUUGUGCAAAGCGAGGAACAGGGUGAGUUCUGGGCUGUUGAAAAGUCUGGCGGAAGAAGGGGCUAUCCCGAUUGUCAUGGUACCUUCCAGCUCGCUUAAAACAGCCCUUGACUUUGCAUUGCAAUUUUGCUCUCUGCAGGUAGCAUUUGUGCAGGUGAGGACUGAAUACCCUUGGCUGCGGUGGUUUUACUCCCUGCUGUCUCCCGUUUCCCUGCCUUUCUUCCUCCCUCUGAUGUCCUCUCCUUCUGCCUGUCUCUGCCAGUCCCUUUCCUUCCACCUUUGCGCAGGCCCAGAUUCCUCUGCUCCCCUCCAUCCUGUUUGUUGUUCGUUUUGCUGUUCAGCUUCCGCCAGAAGUCUCGCUUCUGCUCCCUUGCCACUCAUCCUCUUCAUCACUUCUACAGACUCACUUUGAUCCCCGUCUUCCUGUGAAUGAUGUUUUCCCUGAGCUUCAAAUCACCAAAUCCAGUGGCUUGGGCUCAAAGCUUAGUCUUGUCCUUGACAGAACUGGACCCUUAGGCCAUCCGCACUGAACUUCCCCUCCUGGCUUCUGAGACCACCUUUGCCUUAUCCUGUGCUUGAAGGGCUGUGGUCAGAAACUCCUUUCUCUCCUCAGAAACUCAUCCAUUCCUCAUCCUCUGAAUGAGUGGCACCCAAGUGUUUACCCUCGGCCUAGUUCCAGAGAGCCCCAACCUGUGUGCUCGAUGUGUCAGCUUGGUCACCCUGUUGUCACUGAACCUGAAUUUCUCCCUUCUGCCCAUUAAACUGCCCCUCUCCACAGACCACCUUCUUUAAUCAUCUCGACUCCAGACUACAGACCUCUGCCAUUUUGAUCUCUUGUCACAAAAGUCCUAUCCAUCUUUUAGAAACUGUCUCCAGCUACAGUCUUUCUUUCUGUUGUCCUUGCUUCCCUGCCCCCCACCCCCACCCAUUUCAUUUCUCUCCUGGAAUUUUUUUCCCCCCAGGAGCUACCUUAAUUGGUCUCCUGCCCAUCUUCUCUUGUGUGUGUAGAGACUAGAGCGAUCUUUCCAAGGGACAUGUGGUGAUCUGAAGUGUCUCAGUCUUCAAGAAUCAAGCUCGUGCACCAUGGUAUUCAGGGCUCCUCAGGCUGGCAUUGCCCUGCCUGCCUUUCUUUCCCUGCAUCCUCUCCAGGCCGAAGGCCCCUCUCUGCAGGUGCCCAUUUGGGCCCCUAAGCCUUUUCAUCCUUGCUGCAUCCUCCAGCCAGCCCCUGGCUUCCUGCGGCUCUCCUGUUAGGGUGCUCCCCCCUUCUCUUCUUUCCAUGGCUCCUUCAGGGCCCAGCUCACAUUUUGCUGUGCACCUUCCUGACUACUCCCCCCCCCCCCCCCCCCCGACUUUCCCCACUUUACUCUGCUUUAGUAGCGCCUGAGAACACCAGUACAAAUUUUGGAACUUUGGCAAAAAGGGCAGUUGGCUGUUGGUAUCUGAUGUCUCUGUCCUCCCCAAGAAAAGUAAGCUCCUUGCAGGAGCACCCAUGGCACCCUCUGCAUGUCUGCCUCGCACGGGACGCUCCCCGGUCACUUGAGGAGUCCAGUUUCUUCUUGCAAAGGAGAGCGUGUUCUUUGUUCAGGACAUUGGGCUUUGACUUCACUGAGGUCUCACGCAGCUUUCUGGCUACUGGUGGCUGUCCCUUAUUGAUGGAUUUUGCUAGUAAAGAGGACAGCAGAAAGGAAGUGUGGCCCCAGGCACCAAGAGAGUUGGCAGCAAGGGGACAUUUAAGAAGUGUUGUGGAGUCCACAGAGCUUCACUUUUUGAGACUCAGAGAAGUAGCAUUUCUUGUGUAAAGGAGUACAGUAGAAUUUAAGUUGCACAUUAGAAGUUGCACUGAAAAUCUCCCACCCCAAAGGAAAGUUGUUUUCUGGGUAGCUGGCUUUUGGAUAGACUCUUUGAAGCAUGUUUUCUCAGAGAUUGUGGAGAUGAGGGUAUCCUCGGGGAGGGGGGGAUCUGCCCCCCCAUGGGUGGGGGUGGGGUGGGCAUGAGAGGCACCCCAUCCCGACCUGCAUGUGCCUCCUGUCCAGCCCCAAGCUUUUGGCUGAAGAGUGGUUUUUGUUUGGAGGAGUCUGUGCUUCAGUCACGGGUGUUAACAGGGGACCUUGUUUGCCUGCUUCAGACUCCUAGUAGAAUGAUUCAGAGAGUCCACCUGGGGGAGUAGAAGGCCAGCUAUCUAGAAGGACUAAGAUACCUCAGAAAGAUGUGACAACAGCAUAUAUAUAUACGCUGGCAUUUCUUUUCCCAUGAUGGCUUUUAAUGACACGUUUGGUGACAGAACUCUAAACCUCUGAAAUCCCCCUGAUUGCGAAUUCCCAUUUUCUUCUCCCACUUCACCUCAUUUAAUUCAAAAGCCCACCCCUUGUUUUUGCCUGGUCACUUGAUAGGUAAUGCUGCACACAUGACGAACGCCAGCCCGCCCCGCACAUGCUUGGCAUCAUUAGAACAGGAUGAGAGGGGGCUGCCCCCCAAGACCCUGUAGUUCUGCUGGCCCUCAUCUGAAAGCUCUGGCUGAGAGGGUUGUGUUUGGCAUCGCCUCCGCUUAAGCAAGAAUCCUGGGAAGAGAUUUCCACAUUUAAUUUAACUGUGUACAUCCAGAACCAAGGCUGAAUCACAGGUCAUGUGUGAAUUUCCUAAAUAUCCCAACCUAGAACCUCCUCAUAAAGGCACUGGGUCUGAGCUGUAGGGUGUUUCAAACCAGUUUCCUCACACUCUUUGAGAUUCCUUUGAUGCAGACGUCUAAUGUGUUAAAUAAAUGGUGGAUUGUUGAUAUUGCUCCCCUUUUUUGUUUACCCAGUUAGAAUGCCACUGGUUUGCACUGUUUUAUAGUUCUGGCUUGUAACUUAAUUUUAUUUCUUUAAAGCUUAUUUGGUCUAAUGAGUACUUUUUAGCAUACACUGUUUUAUUGAGCUUCUGUGAAUGCCAUCACAAUGUAGUUUUGUACCUCUGCACAGAAACCAAAAUAAAUUUUAAAUAUUGAAGCUGUAAAAUCUUUAAAUUCCAU